CACGUAGGGCGCAAGCGUUGUCCGGAAUUAUUGGGCGUAAAGAGCUCGUAGGCGGUCUGUUACGUCCGCUGUGAAAACCCGGGGCUUAACCCCUGGCUUGCAGUGGAUACGGACAGACUAGAGGUAGGUAGGGGAGAAUGGAAUUCCCGGUGUAGCGGUGAAAUGCUUAGAUAUGACAUAGAACACCAAUUGCGAAGGCAGCUGGCUACACGAAUUAUUGACACUGAUGCACGAAAGCGUGGGGAUCAAACAGG
Molecule: ribosomal RNA, 254 nt
Filed under: uncultured bacterium
Lineage: Bacteria
Description: partial 16S ribosomal RNA
Rfam family: Bacterial small subunit ribosomal RNA
Source: RNAcentral